GAUGAACGCUGGCGGCGUGCCUAAUACAUGCAAGUCGAGCGAAGUUUUUCUGAUGCUUGCUUCGGAAAAACUUAGCGGCGAACGGGUGAGUCACAUGUAUAGAACAUGUAUAAUAGAGUGGGAAAAUCAUUGGAACGGAUAGCUAAUCCCGGAUAAUAGUAAAACCCAUAGGGUUGAUGUUUAAAAGUUGGUUUCGUUAACAUAUCGAGAUGGCUUUGCGGUGCAUUAGAUAGUUGGUGGGGUAAAGGCCUACCAAGGCGACGAUGCAUAGCCGACCUGAGAGGGUGAUCGGCCACACUGGAACUGAGACACGGCCCAGACUCCUACGGGAGGCAGCAGUAGGGAAUCUUCCGCAAUGGGCGAAAGCCUGACGGAGCAACGCCGCGUGAGUGAAGAAGGAUUUCGGUUCGUAAAGCUCUGUUAUUAGGGAAGAAUGAAUGUGUAGUAACUAUUCACAGUAUUGACGGUACCUAACCAGAAAGCCACGGCUAACUACGUG
RNAcentral lists this ribosomal RNA (499 nucleotides) under uncultured bacterium. RNAcentral describes it as "partial 16S ribosomal RNA". It matches the Rfam family "Bacterial small subunit ribosomal RNA", at positions 28 to 507 of the family's 1533-position model. The record is from RNAcentral.